RNAcentral lists this ribosomal RNA (408 nucleotides) under uncultured bacterium. RNAcentral's name for it is "partial 16S ribosomal RNA". It matches the Rfam family "Bacterial small subunit ribosomal RNA", at positions 28 to 526 of the family's 1533-position model. The record is from RNAcentral.
GACGAACGCUGGCGGCGUGCUUAACACAUGCAAGUCGAACGAAGUGGCGAACGGGUGAGUAACGCGUAAUCAACCUGCCCUUCAGAGGGGGACAACAGGUGGAAACGACUGCUAAUGCCGAAUACUGAAGGAGGGGAUUGAGUCUGAUUAGCUGGUUGGGGGGGUAACGGCCCACCAAGGCUAUGAUCAGUAGCCGAUCUGGGAGGAUGACCGGCCACAUUGGGACUGAGACACGGCCCAGACUCCUACGGGAGGCAGCAGUGGGGAAUCUUCGGCAAUGGACGAAAGUCUGACGGAGCAACGCCGCGUGUGAGAUGAAGGCCUUCGGGUUGUAAAGCACUUUUGGCAGGAAAGCGGUACCUGCAGAAUAAGCACCGGCUAACUACGUGCCAGCAGCCGCGGUAAUUC